RNAcentral lists this non-coding RNA (157 nucleotides) under Chloropicon mariensis. The record is from RNAcentral. Lineage: Eukaryota; Viridiplantae; Chlorophyta; Chloropicophyceae; Chloropicales; Chloropicaceae.
CAUCUGGGUAAGUAAAGAAGGAAUGAAAAGAGAGAUAGAAAAAGAAGAAAACAACGCUCACCUCUUUUAACUCACCUCUUCGUUUUGAUAUCCGUUUUUGCGUUUCGUUUAUCCGUUUCGUUUAUCCGUUUCGUUUUCUUCCUAUUAGAGCGGCAAG